GGUUGCGGACAGUGUCUGGUGGGUAGUUUGACUGGGGCGGUCUCCUCCUAAAGAGUAACGGAGGAGCACGAAGGUUGGCUAAUCCUGGUCGGACAUCAGGAGGUUAGUGCAAUGGCAUAAGCCAGCUUGACUGCGAGCGUGACGGCGCGAGCAGGUGCGAAAGCAGGUCAUAGUGAUCCGGUGGUUCUGAAUGGAAGGGCCAUCGCUCAACGGAUAAAAGGUACUCCGGGGAUAACAGGCUGAUACCGCCCAAGAGUUCAUAUCGACGGCGGUGUUUGGCACCUCGAUGUCGGCUCAUCACAUCCUGGGGCUGAAGUAGGUCCCAAGGGUAUGGCUGUUCGCCAUUUAAAGUGGUACGCGAGCUGGGUUUAGAACGUCGUGAGACAGUUCGGUCCCUAUCUGCCGUGGGCGCUGGAGAACUGAGGGGGGCUGCUCCUAGUACGAGAGGACCGGAGUGGACGCAUCACUGGUGUUCGGGUUGUCAUGCCAAUGGCACUGCCCGGUAGCUAAAUGCGGAAGAGAUAAGUGCUGAAAGCAUCUAAGCACGAAACUUGCCCCGAGAUGAGUUCUCCCUGAGAC
RNAcentral lists this ribosomal RNA (579 nucleotides) under Salmonella enterica. RNAcentral's name for it is "partial 23S ribosomal RNA". It matches the Rfam family "Bacterial large subunit ribosomal RNA", at positions 2243 to 2821 of the family's 2925-position model. Lineage: Bacteria; Pseudomonadati; Pseudomonadota; Gammaproteobacteria; Enterobacterales; Enterobacteriaceae. The record is from RNAcentral.